Molecule: ribosomal RNA, 1364 nt
Filed under: Microbacterium arborescens
Lineage: Bacteria; Bacillati; Actinomycetota; Actinomycetes; Micrococcales; Microbacteriaceae
Description: bacterial SSU rRNA
Rfam family: Bacterial small subunit ribosomal RNA
Source: RNAcentral
GAACGGUGAAGCAGAGCUUGCUCUGUGGAUCAGUGGCGAACGGGUGAGUAACACGUGAGCAAUCUGCCCCUGACUCUGGGAUAAGCGCUGGAAACGGCGUCUAAUACCGGAUACGAGCUGCGACCGCAUGGUCAGUAGCUGGAAAGAAUUUCGGUCAGGGAUGAGCUCGCGGCCUAUCAGCUUGUUGGUGAGGUAAUGGCUCACCAAGGCGUCGACGGGUAGCCGGCCUGAGAGGGUGACCGGCCACACUGGGACUGAGACACGGCCCAGACUCCUACGGGAGGCAGCAGUGGGGAAUAUUGCACAAUGGGCGCAAGCCUGAUGCAGCAACGCCGCGUGAGGGAUGACGGCCUUCGGGUUGUAAACCUCUUUUAGCAGGGAAGAAGCGAAAGUGACGGUACCUGCAGAAAAAGCGCCGGCUAACUACGUGCCAGCAGCCGCGGUAAUACGUAGGGCGCAAGCGUUAUCCGGAAUUAUUGGGCGUAAAGAGCUCGUAGGCGGUCUGUCGCGUCUGCUGUGAAAACCCGAGGCUCAACCUCGGGCCUGCAGUGGGUACGGGCAGACUAGAGUGCGGUAGGGGAGAUUGGAAUUCCUGGUGUAGCGGUGGAAUGCGCAGAUAUCAGGAGGAACACCGAUGGCGAAGGCAGAUCUCUGGGCCGUAACUGACGCUGAGGAGCGAAAGGGUGGGGAGCAAACAGGCUUAGAUACCCUGGUAGUCCACCCCGUAAACGUUGGGAACUAGUUGUGGGGUCCAUUCCACGGAUUCCGUGACGCAGCUAACGCAUUAAGUUCCCCGCCUGGGGAGUACGGCCGCAAGGCUAAAACUCAAAGGAAUUGACGGGGACCCGCACAAGCGGCGGAGCAUGCGGAUUAAUUCGAUGCAACGCGAAGAACCUUACCAAGGCUUGACAUAUAGAGGAAACGUCUGGAAACAGUCGCCCCGCAAGGUCUCUAUACAGGUGGUGCAUGGUUGUCGUCAGCUCGUGUCGUGAGAUGUUGGGUUAAGUCCCGCAACGAGCGCAACCCUCGUUCUAUGUUGCCAGCACGUAAUGGUGGGAACUCAUGGGAUACUGCCGGGGUCAACUCGGAGGAAGGUGGGGAUGACGUCAAAUCAUCAUGCCCCUUAUGUCUUGGGCUUCACGCAUGCUACAAUGGCCGGUACAAAGGGCUGCAAUACCGUGAGGUGGAGCGAAUCCCAAAAAGCCGGUCCCAGUUCGGAUUGAGGUCUGCAACUCGACCUCAUGAAGUCGGAGUCGCUAGUAAUCGCAGAUCAGCAACGCUGCGGUGAAUACGUUCCCGGGUCUUGUACACACCGCCCGUCAAGUCAUGAAAGUCGGUAACACCUGAAGCCGGUGGCCCAACCC